This 790-nucleotide small RNA is filed under the name Homo sapiens (human). RNAcentral's name for it is "palmitoyl-protein thioesterase 2 (ENSG00000168452.21, ENSG00000231618.10, ENSG00000236649.10)". The record is from RNAcentral. Lineage: Eukaryota; Metazoa; Chordata; Mammalia; Primates; Hominidae.
CUUGGGAUAAGUAAACAGCGGGUGGAGCGAGGCCUACGGACCCAGGCCAGGUGGGAGUCUGCACUCUUCAAGGGGCCUGGGCUGCUGCUCACGGGUAUUAAAGAACUCCGCGUUGUUCAUGGCUGAGGCGAUGCAUUAGGAAGAUCCUGGACCUAGAGAACAAGUCCCCCGAACGCUGAGUUGGAGGCGGGACUUCGGGUGCGCGUUGGCGGGAGCAUGCUGGGGCUCUGGGGGCAGCGGCUCCCCGCGGCGUGGGUCCUGCUUCUGUUGCCUUUCCUGCCGCUGCUGCUGCUUGCAGCCCCCGCGCCCCACCGCGCGUCCUACAAGCCGGUCAUCGUGGUGCAUGGGCUCUUCGACAGCUCGUACAGCUUCCGCCACCUGCUGGAAUACAUCAAUGAGACACACCCCGGGACUGUGGUGACAGUGCUCGAUCUCUUCGAUGGGAGAGAGAGCUUGCGACCCCUGUGGGAACAGGUGCAAGGGUUCCGAGAGGCUGUGGUCCCCAUCAUGGCAAAGGCCCCUCAAGGGGUGCAUCUCAUCUGCUACUCGCAGGAUGGGACAGUAUGGAGACACGGACUACUUGAAGUGGCUGUUCCCCACCUCCAUGCGGUCUAACCUCUAUCGGAUCUGCUAUAGCCCCUGGGGCCAGGAAUUCUCCAUCUGCAACUACUGGCAUGAUCCCCACCACGAUGACUUGUACCUCAAUGCCAGCAGCUUCCUGGCCCUGAUCAAUGGGGAAAGAGACCAUCCCAAUGCCACAGCUUCUUUGGUUUCUAUGAUGCAAAUGAGA